GAGUUUGAUCGUGGCUCAGGACGAACGCUGGCGGCGUGCCUAAUACAUGCAAGUCGAGCGAGGGUUUUUAAGACCCUAGCGGCGGACGGGUGAGUAACACGUAGGCAACCUGCCUCUCAGACCGGGAUAACAUAGGGAAACUUAUGCUAAUACCGGAUAGGUUUUUGGAUUGCAUGAUCCGAAAGAAAAGAUGGCUUUUUGCUAUCACUGGGAGAUGGGCCUGCGGCGCAUUAGCUAGUUGGUGGGGUAACGGCCUACCAAGCGACGAUGCGUAGCCGACCUGAGAGGGUGACCGGCCACACUGGGACUGAGACACGGCCCAGACUCCUACGGGAGGCAGCAGUAGGGAAUUUUCCACAAUGGACGAAAGUCUGAUGGAGCAACG
Molecule: ribosomal RNA, 385 nt
Filed under: uncultured microorganism
Description: bacterial SSU rRNA
Rfam family: Bacterial small subunit ribosomal RNA
Source: RNAcentral